Coffea arabica (coffee) is the source of this 1897-nucleotide non-coding RNA. Lineage: Eukaryota; Viridiplantae; Streptophyta; Magnoliopsida; Gentianales; Rubiaceae. The record is from RefSeq and is a predicted model, not a curated record.
CCACUAGAUCAAUAUAGGAGUACCUGGCAGAUAAAUACGGAAUAAAUAGAAAAAUUAUUCGGGUUUUCGUUUUCUGAUUUCUGCGUUCCUCAACCCUAAAGUAAAGCAAAGCAAACCAGAAGCACUCAAAAAGCGUCGUAUAGUUUUCUAUUAAAAACCAGAUUGCAACAUGUCUGAUGUUGCGGAGUAUCGCUGUUUCAUUGGAAAUCUGUCAUGGUCAACAUCUGAUCGAGGUCUAAAAGAUGCAUUUGAGAAAUUUGGCCAUCUUAUUGAGGCAAAGGUUGUUAUGGACAAGUUCUCUGGACGCUCCCGUGGAUUUGGAUUUGUCACUUUUGAUGAAAAGGAUGCAAUGGAGGAGGCCAUCCAUGCAAUGAAUGGCAUGGAUUUAGAUGGCCGACCUAUCACAGUUGACAAAGCACAACCUAACCAAGGUGGCGAUCGUGAUAUUGAUCGCCCGCGUGAUAGGGACCGUGGUCGUGAUCGAGAUCGUCGUGAUUAUGGGGGUGGUCGUGGAUCUGGUGGUGGAGACUGCUUUAAGUGUGGUAAACCAGGACACUUUGCUAGGGAAUGUCCUGAUGAUGGUGGUAGAGGAAACCGAUAUGGCGGUAGAGAUGACAGAUAUGGUGGCAGUGGUGGAGGUGGAAGAGGUGGUGGGCGUUAUGGACCUGAAAGGAAUGGAGAUCGGUUUGGUAGCCGUAACAGAGAUGGUGGUGGUCAUGGGGGAGGUGACCGAUACAAUCGUGAUCGAUCUGGGCCAUAUGACCGUCGUGGUAGUGGAGGUUUUCGCUAAGGGUAGAAUCUGACUGCCACAGAUUGUGGAGGAAUGGAUGUGCUGCUUGUGAUGGAACCAAAUGGCUUGAAGUAUAUUGGAAAAGGAUAUUUUGUCUUCUUGGCAUGUUGGCAAAGUGGAUCAAUCUUUUGAAUUCAUGAAAAUUGGCUCUAAUAUUCUACUAUUUUGUGUUCGUAAGAUGUUCGAUAUAUGGUCUGAUGGGUGGUCUGUCACUCUUGAAUGCUAUUAUUGCUGCUGGUUAUCUGCUUUGUUGAUGGAAAUUUCACUGCCCUUAUUUGCUGCUGGAUGCAUAAUGAUUUCAUACACUGGAAAUUGCACAUCACAAAGUUUUGCAUUAUGUUGGGUGGUUUGAGGACAUACGGUGAGACCUUAAAAUUGGUGAUAGGAAAACCUUGUUCCCCACCUUCAGGUGUGCCUGUCAAUUGAGGUGUAGAGGCUGUCUUACAAGCUGUAUGUCCUAUGUUCUGGUAAAGAAAGAUUUAAACGUGUGAGUAAAUCGGGCGCCGUAAUUGGCCUUUUGGAUACAUAGUGGAUCUGUUUGCUAAUUGGGGGUAGGCUUUUAACAUAAUAAAAUUGAGAAAGCAUUUUGGACAGCAACAAGCCCUCUGGAAGUUAUCGCACUGUUAGUUACUCAUAGCUUCUGCAAGGUGAACUAAGGGAGGAUUAUGCCCAGUUUAAAAUCCUGGCAGUUAUUUAGAUACUCUUGGGGAGUCAGCAACUUUUGUCCACGAUCUUGUUCUGGUCCUCUCUUUGAUUUACUCUCUUUGGGACAAGAGCUUCCUUUCUGUUCUUCUAGUCUCCUGGCUUUUGUUGCUGAGACAUAUUUCAGUGGUCAAUAUGUGUACGAAGUUGCAGUGUUUUUCCUCUUUCAGUUCGUGGUUCUUGGUAACUGUGCCUUGCAAUCUCAAGGAUGGAUCAACCUUUCAUAAACUCUGUUUGAGACUGCGGCAUUUUCGAGUUAAAUGACUUGUCCCAGCAAUGUCAACUUGUGUUGUUGGGUGAUGAGAGUUCUCUGUCUGUGUAUCUUUUUUGUUUUUCCCAUUGGUCUAUCUUUUAUUAUUUUUCAUGUUAAUCUUUUAGACAAUGGGGGAACGGGAGUUUGGGCAA